CACUGGUUUUCCAGGAACAACAGGUUCCCCAUUUUUGUCAGGAAACAUCUUCUGUGAGGGGCCCCGAGACUCCUUGUGUCAGUUAAUUUGCACAGCAGUAAGCAAAGACACUCAGCAACAUCUAUUUUAAUGUGAUUAAGCAAGUCCCCAUUCUUCCAUUCCUGGCUUUAAUAAUAAUGAUUGUUUUAUUUAGAAAUCAUUAAUGUGAUUAAACAAGCCCCCAUUCUUCUAACCCUGGCUUCAGUGGGGGGCAGAGGAGGGUGACACGGGCCGAGAAUGUGGGGAUGGAGGGGCACAGGCUGUUAUUCAGGGACAGGGGAAAACGUAGGGACACAGUGUGGGGGCAUCCGGGAGGGCAGCUGGGGACAGGGACCAUAAAUGGUGGGGCCCCUGCUGUGUCCCCAGGGUUGGGGUGUGCCCAAGGGACAGAUACCCCACAACUCAUGUCCACAGGAAGCUGCUUCAGGUUCUGGCCCUCUGCCCCAAGGAGCACAUGUCCCUUUCCUGGUGGCAUAAGGACACCCUGGAGCCCAGGGUGGGAGGUGGCACCCUCACCUACGAUGGCAUCUGGGCACCCACCUCAUCUGCCUCCCUGCAGGCAAGGACCCUCAGAGACCACGGAGGUGCUGAGGAGAAGGAAGGUAGGGUGCUGUGGAGCGUUGGGGUGAGGGGAGUGUGGGCCUUUGGGUGCCUCCCCAAUGCCCCUUGCCGUGUCCCCAGGGCUCACCCCCUGGGAUGUGGCCCUACACCUCAAUCUGCUGGCAGGGGGCCAGGGUCAAGUGCUGCAAACACUUAGGAGCAGGGACCCCUGGGUGCAGUGGUGAGUGUGGGCAGGGCAUCCCUGC
Molecule: long non-coding RNA, 845 nt
Organism: Cygnus olor (mute swan)
Lineage: Eukaryota; Metazoa; Chordata; Aves; Anseriformes; Anatidae
Exons: 3
Source: RefSeq, a predicted model, not a curated record